This 414-nucleotide ribosomal RNA is filed under the name Streptomyces sp. NWU49. RNAcentral's name for it is "bacterial SSU rRNA". It matches the Rfam family "Bacterial small subunit ribosomal RNA", at positions 1 to 414 of the family's 1533-position model. The record is from RNAcentral. Lineage: Bacteria; Bacillati; Actinomycetota; Actinomycetes; Kitasatosporales; Streptomycetaceae.
CAUUCACGGAGAGUUUGAUCCUGGCUCAGGACGAACGCUGGCGGCGUGCUUAACACAUGCAAGUCGAACGAUGAACCACCUUCGGGUGGGGAUUAGUGGCGAACGGGUGAGUAACACGUGGGCAAUCUGCCCUGCACUUCGGGACAAGCCCUGGAAACGGGGUCUAAUACCGGAUACGACACCGGGAGGCAUCUCCUCGGUGUGGAAAGCUCCGGCGGUGCAGGAUGGGCCCGCGGCCUAUCAGCUGGUUGGUGAGGUAACGGCUCACCAAGGCGACGACGGGUAGCCGGCCUGAGAGGGCGACCGGCCACACUGGGACUGAGACACGGCCCAGACUCCUACGGGAGGCAGCAGUGGGGAAUAUUGCACAAUGGGCGCAAGCCUGAUGCAGCGACGCCGCGUGAGGGAUGACGG